GAUGAACGCUGGCGGCGUGCCUAAUACAUGCAAGUCGAGCGAACAGACGAGGCGCUUGCUCCUCUGACGUUAGCGGCGGACGGGUGAGUAACACGUGUAUAACCUACCUAUAAGACUGGGAUAACUUCGGGAAACCGGAGCUAAUACCGGAUAAUAUAUUGAACCGCAUGGUUCAAUAGUGAAAGACGGUUUUGCUGUCACUUAUCGAUGGUUCCGCGCCGCAUUAGCUAGUUGGUAAGGUAACGGCUUACCAAGGCAACGAUGCGUAGCCGACCUGAGAGGGUGAUAGGCCACACUGGAACGGAGACACGGUCCAGACUCCUACGGGAGGCAGCAGUAGGGAAUCUUCCGCAAUGGGCGAAAGCCUGACGGAGCAACGCCGCGUGAGUGAUGAAGGUCUUCGGAUCGUAAAACUCGGUUAUGAGGGAAGAACAAAUGUGUAAGUAAAUAUGCACGUAUUGACGGUACCUAAUCAGAAAGCAACGGCUAACUACGUG
RNAcentral lists this ribosomal RNA (497 nucleotides) under uncultured bacterium. RNAcentral describes it as "partial 16S ribosomal RNA". It matches the Rfam family "Bacterial small subunit ribosomal RNA", at positions 28 to 507 of the family's 1533-position model. The record is from RNAcentral.